AAUAUUGCACAAUGGGCGCAAGCCUGACGCAGCAACGCCGCGUGCGCUACGAAGGCCCUCGGGUCGUAAAUCGCUUUUCGGGGAGAUGAGCACGGACAGUAUCCUCGGAAGAAGGAUUGUCUAACUAAGUGUCAGCACCCGCGGUAAAACGUAGGAUCCGAGCGUUAUCCGAAUUCACUGGGCGUAAAGCGCAUGUAGGCGGCAGCACAAGUUGGAUGUGAAAUCUCCCGGCUCAACUGGGAGGGGACGUUCAAAACUGUGCGGCUCGAGGGCGGUAGAGGAAGGUAGAAUUCCCGGUGUAGUGGUGAAAUGCGUAGAUAUCGGGAGGAAUACCCGUGGCGAAGGCGACCUUCUGGACCGUUUCUGACGCUCAGAUGCGAAAGCUAGGGGAGCGAACGGG
RNAcentral lists this ribosomal RNA (400 nucleotides) under uncultured bacterium. Its description in RNAcentral is "partial 16S ribosomal RNA". It matches the Rfam family "Bacterial small subunit ribosomal RNA", at positions 360 to 776 of the family's 1533-position model. The record is from RNAcentral.